UAGAGCUUGAUCAUGGCUCAGAUUGAACGCUGGCGGCAGGCCUAACACAUGCCAAGUCGAGCGGUAGAGAGAAGCUUGCUUCUCUUGAGAGCGGCGGACGGGUGAGUAAUGCCUAGGAAUCUGCCUGGUAGUGGGGGAUAACGUUCGGAAACGGACGCUAAUACCGCAUACGUCCUACGGGAGAAAGCAGGGGACCUUCGGGCCUUGCGCUAUCAGAUGAGCCUAGGUCGGAUUAGCUAGUUGGUGGGGUAAUGGCUCACCAAGGCGACGAUCCGUAACUGGUCUGAUGAGGAUGAUCAGUCACACUGGAACUGAGACACGGUCCAGACUCCUACGGGAGGCAGCAGUGGGGAAUAUUGGACAAUGGGCGAAAGCCUGAUCCAGCCAUGCCGCGUGUGUGAAGAAGGUCUUCGGAUUGUAAAGCACUUUAAGUUGGGAGGAAGGGCAGUUACCUAAUAGCGUGAUUGUUUGAGC
RNAcentral lists this ribosomal RNA (474 nucleotides) under Pseudomonas sp. 01WB04.1-7. Its description in RNAcentral is "bacterial SSU rRNA". It matches the Rfam family "Bacterial small subunit ribosomal RNA", at positions 1 to 478 of the family's 1533-position model. Lineage: Bacteria; Pseudomonadati; Pseudomonadota; Gammaproteobacteria; Pseudomonadales; Pseudomonadaceae. The record is from RNAcentral.